This 72-nucleotide transfer RNA is filed under the name Bos taurus (domestic cattle). It matches the Rfam family "tRNA". Rfam says of the family: Transfer RNA (tRNA) molecules are approximately 80 nucleotides in length. Their secondary structure includes four short double-helical elements and three loops (D, anti-codon, and T loops). RNAcentral also lists the same sequence under 2 other names. The record is from Rfam by way of RNAcentral. Lineage: Eukaryota; Metazoa; Chordata; Mammalia; Artiodactyla; Bovidae.
UCCCUUGUAGCUCAGUCGGUAAAGAAUCUGCCUGCAGUGCAGGAGACUCGGGUUCGAUCCCUGGGUUGGGAA